UGGGGAAUAUUGCACAAUGGGGGAAACCCUGAUGCAGCGACGCCGCGUGAGCGAAGAAGGUUUUCGAAUCGUAAAGCUCUGUCCUAUGGGAAGAUAAUGACGGUACCAUAGGAGGAAGCCCCGGCUAACUACGUGCCAGCCGCCGCGGUAAUACGUAGGGGGCAAGCGUUGUCCGGAAUCACUGGGCGUAAAGGGUUCGCAGGCGGAAAUGCAAGUCAGUUGUGAAAGGCAGAGGCUCAACCUCUGUAAGCAAUUGAAACUGUAUUUCUUGAGAUGUGGAGAGGCUAGUGGAAUUCCUAGUGUAGCGGUGAAAUGCGUAGAUAUUAGGAAGAAUACCGGUGGCGAAAGCGACUUGCUGGACACAAACUGACGCUGAGGAACGAAAGCGUGGGUAGCAAACAGG
This 403-nucleotide ribosomal RNA is filed under the name Verrucomicrobiota bacterium. RNAcentral's name for it is "Verrucomicrobia bacterium partial 16S ribosomal RNA". It matches the Rfam family "Bacterial small subunit ribosomal RNA", at positions 355 to 776 of the family's 1533-position model. Lineage: Bacteria; Pseudomonadati; Verrucomicrobiota. The record is from RNAcentral.